Molecule: ribosomal RNA, 463 nt
Filed under: uncultured bacterium
Lineage: Bacteria
Description: partial 16S ribosomal RNA
Rfam family: Bacterial small subunit ribosomal RNA
Source: RNAcentral
GACGAACGCUGGCGGCGUGCUUAACACAUGCAAGUCGAACGGAAAGGCCCCUUUGGGGGUACUCGAGUGGCGCACGGGUGAGUAACACGUGAGUAACCUGCCCUUGACUUCGGGAUAACUUCAGGAAACUGGGGCUAAUACCGGAUAGGAAUCCUUGCUGCAUGGUGGGGGUUGGAAAGCUUCGGCGGUUUUGGAUGGACUCGCGGCUUAUCAGCUUGUUGGUGGGGUAGUGGCUUACCAAGGCUUUGACGGGUAGCCGGCCUGAGAGGGCGACCGGCCACAUUGGGACUGAGAUACGGCCCAGACUCCUACGGGAGGCAGCAGUGGGGAAUAUUGCACAAUGGGCGGAAGCCUGAUGCAGCAACGCCGCGUGCGGGAUGACGGCCUUCGGGUUGUAAACCGCUUUCAGCAGGGGCGAAGCUUGUGGUGACGGUACCUGCAGAAGAAGCACCGGCUAACUACG